GGUCUGGGCUCGACGGCGCAGGGGCUGGGCAGAGGGCUGGGCUCUCCUAUCUCUCCAUGAACACAAACCCAUUUCAGCUCAAGAUCUAUUCCAUUUUCAAAUUAACACAUGCAAUGGAAGGCACUGUGGAGAUACCUUCACUGGUCCUAAUAAGCCCAACAAGCCUUCUAUUUGGACUGCUCAAUACAGAGUUUUCGGAGACCCUCCUUCUCAAAGAGCAGCAGAAGACAUUGCAUACUUGGUUGCCCAGUUUUUCUCCAAGAAUGGAACUUUGAACAACUACUA
Humulus lupulus (European hop) is the source of this 285-nucleotide long non-coding RNA. RefSeq lists it as uncharacterized. The record is from RefSeq and is a predicted model, not a curated record. The transcript is spliced from 3 exons. NCBI's taxonomy places the organism in Eukaryota, Viridiplantae, Streptophyta, Magnoliopsida, Rosales, Cannabaceae.